This 460-nucleotide ribosomal RNA is filed under the name Filifactor villosus. RNAcentral's name for it is "bacterial SSU rRNA". It matches the Rfam family "Bacterial small subunit ribosomal RNA", at positions 9 to 450 of the family's 1533-position model. The record is from RNAcentral. Lineage: Bacteria; Bacillati; Bacillota; Clostridia; Peptostreptococcales; Filifactoraceae.
GAGUUUGAUUAUGGCUCAGGAUGAACGCUGGCGGCGUGCUUAACACAUGCAAGUCGAACGGGCGAAUUAUAUCGGAGGUCUUCGGGCCGAAGAGAUAAUAAGCUAGUGGCGGACGGGUGCGUAACGUGUGGGUAAUCUGCCUUUGUCAUAGGAAUAACUGCUUGAAAAAGUAGCUAAUACCAAAUAACAUAUCGUAUAGGCAUCUAUAAGAUAUCAAAGAGAAAUCGGACAAAGAUGAGCCCGCAUCUGAUUAGCUGGUUGGUAGGGUAAAAGCCUACCAAGGCGACGAUCAGUAGCCGGCCUGAGAGGGUGAACGGCCACAUUGGAACUGAGACACGGUCCAAACUCCUACGGGAGGCAGCAGUGGGGAAUAUUGCACAAUGGGGGGAACCCUGAUGCAGCAACGCCGCGUGAGUGAAGAAGGCUUUCGAGUCGUAAAACUCUGUUGUAAGGGAAGAUA